UGAAUAGAUGGCGCUGCCUGUGAGUUGC
This 28-nucleotide small RNA is filed under the name Bombyx mori (domestic silkworm). Its description in RNAcentral is "ovarian small RNA-3553". The record is from RNAcentral. Lineage: Eukaryota; Metazoa; Arthropoda; Insecta; Lepidoptera; Bombycidae.